AUUGAACGCUGGCGGCAUGCCUUACACAUGCAAGUCGAACGGCAGCACGGGAGCAAUCCUGGUGGCGAGUGGCGAACGGGUGAGUAAUAUAUCGGAACGUGCCCAGUAGUGGGGGAUAGCCCGGCGAAAGCCGGAUUAAUACCGCAUACGACCUGAGGGUGAAAGCGGGGGAUCGCAAGACCUCGCGCUAUUGGAGCGGCCGAUAUCAGAUUAGCUAGUUGGUGGGGUAAAGGCCUACCAAGGCUACGAUCUGUAGUUGGUCUGAGAGGACGACCAGCCACACUGGGACUGAGACACGGCCCAGACUCCUACGGGAGGCAGCAGUGGGGAAUUUUGGACAAUGGGCGCAAGCCUGAUCCAGCAAUGCCGCGUGCAGGAAGAAGGCCUUCGGGUUGUAAACUGCUUUUGUCAGGGAAGAAAUCUUCUGGGCUAAUACCCCGGGAGGAUGACGGUACCUGAAGAAUAAGCACCGGCUAACUACGUGCCAGCAGCCGCGGUAAUACGUAGGGUGCGAGCGUUAAUCGGAAUUACUGGGCGUAAAGCGUGCGCAGGCGGCUUUGCAAGACAGAUGUGAAAUCCCCGGGCUCAACCUGGGAACUGCAUUUGUGACUGCAAGGCUAGAGUACGGCAGAGGGGGAUGGAAUUCCGCGUGUAGCAGUGAAAUGCGUAGAUAUGCGGAGGAACACCGAUGGCGAAAGCAAUCCCCUGGGCCUGUACUGACGCUCAUGCACGAAAGCGUGGGGAGCAAACA
This 751-nucleotide ribosomal RNA is filed under the name uncultured bacterium. RNAcentral's name for it is "bacterial SSU rRNA". It matches the Rfam family "Bacterial small subunit ribosomal RNA", at positions 28 to 774 of the family's 1533-position model. The record is from RNAcentral.